GGGGGUAUAGUUUAAUUGGUAAAACAUCGAUUUUGCAUAUCGGCUUUUCGGGAUCGAGUCCUGAUAUCUCCA
This 72-nucleotide transfer RNA is filed under the name Rickettsiales bacterium. Its description in RNAcentral is "tRNA-Ala". It matches the Rfam family "tRNA". From Rfam's summary of the family: Transfer RNA (tRNA) molecules are approximately 80 nucleotides in length. Their secondary structure includes four short double-helical elements and three loops (D, anti-codon, and T loops). Further hydrogen bonds mediate the characteristic L-shaped molecular structure. tRNAs have two regions of fundamental functional importance: the anti-codon, which is responsible for specific mRNA codon recognition, and the 3' end, to which the tRNAs corresponding amino acid is attached (by aminoacyl-tRNA synthetases). tRNAs cope with the degeneracy of the genetic code in two manners: having more than one tRNA (with a specific anti-codon) for a particular amino acid; and 'wobble' base-pairing, i.e. permitting non-standard base-pairing at the 3rd anti-codon position. Lineage: Bacteria; Pseudomonadati; Pseudomonadota; Alphaproteobacteria; Rickettsiales. The record is from RNAcentral.